RNAcentral lists this ribosomal RNA (253 nucleotides) under uncultured bacterium. RNAcentral's name for it is "partial 16S ribosomal RNA". It matches the Rfam family "Bacterial small subunit ribosomal RNA", at positions 524 to 776 of the family's 1533-position model. The record is from RNAcentral.
UACGUAGGGUGCAAGCGUUAUCCGGAAUUAUUGGGCGUAAAGAGCUCGUAGGCGGUUUGUCGCGUCUGCUGUGAAAACUGGAGGCUCAACCUCCAGCCUGCAGUGGGUACGGGCAGACUAGAGUGCGGUAGGGGAGAUUGGAAUUCCUGGUGUAGCGGUGGAAUGCGCAGAUAUCAGGAGGAACACCAAUGGCGAAGGCAGGUCUCUGGGCCGUAACUGACGCUGAGGAGCGAAAGCAUGGGGAGCGAACAGG